Molecule: ribosomal RNA, 500 nt
Filed under: uncultured Glomeromycotina
Lineage: Eukaryota; Fungi; Glomeromycota
Description: partial small subunit ribosomal RNA
Rfam family: Eukaryotic small subunit ribosomal RNA
Source: RNAcentral
CCAAUAGCGUAUAUUAAAGUUGUUGCAGUUAAAAAGCUCGUAGUUGAAUUUCGGGAUUAGUACGUUGGUCGUGCCUUAGGUACGUACUGGUGUUACUGGUUCCUACCUUCUGACGAACCAUCAUGUCAUUAAUUUGGUGUGGCGGGGAAUCAGGACUGUUACUUUGAAAAAAAUUAGAGUGUUUAAAGCAGGCUCGCGCUUGAAUACAUUAGCAUGGAAUAAUGAAAUAGGACGUUGACCCUAUUUUGUUGGUUUCUAGGAUUGACGUAAUGAUUAAUAGGGAUAGUUGGGGGCAUUAGUAUUCAAUUGUCAGAGGUGAAAUUCUUGGAUUUAUUGAAGACUAACUACUGCGAAAGCAUUUGCCAAGGAUGUUUUCAUUAAUCAAGAACGAGAGUUAGGGGAUCGAAGACGAUCAGAUACCGUCGUAGUCUUAACCAUAAACUAUGCCGACUAGGGAUCGGAUGAUGUUAAUUUUUUAAUGACUCAUUCGGCGCCUUACG